Molecule: ribosomal RNA, 253 nt
Filed under: uncultured bacterium
Lineage: Bacteria
Description: partial 16S ribosomal RNA
Rfam family: Bacterial small subunit ribosomal RNA
Source: RNAcentral
UACGGGGGGGGCAAGCGUUGUUCGGAAUUACUGGGCGUAAAGGGCUCGUAGGUGGCCAACUAAGUCGGACGUGAAAUCCCUCAGCUUAACCGGGGAACUGCAUCUGAUACUGGAUGGCUUGAGUUCGGGAGAGGGAUGCGGAAUUCCAGGUGUAGCGGUGAAAUGCGUAGAUAUCUGGAGGAACACCGGUGGCGAAGGCAGCAUCCUGGACAACACCUGACACUGAGGCACGAAAGCUAGGGGAGCAAACAGG